This 165-nucleotide unclassified non-coding RNA is filed under the name soil metagenome. Its description in RNAcentral is "partial contains 5.8S ribosomal RNA, internal transcribed spacer 2, and large subunit ribosomal RNA". The record is from RNAcentral.
AAGACUAUAGACCUGCGGAGUACCUGCGGAGGGAUCAUUACUGUGAUUUACUACUACACUGCGUGAGCGGAACGAAAACAACAACACCUAAAAUGUGGAAUAUAGCAUAUAGUCGACAAGAGAAAUCUACGAAAAAACAAACAAAACUUUCAACAAUGGAUCUCU